Molecule: ribosomal RNA, 791 nt
Filed under: uncultured archaeon
Lineage: Archaea
Description: bacterial SSU rRNA
Rfam family: Archaeal small subunit ribosomal RNA
Source: RNAcentral
ACGGCUCAGUAACACGUCGGUAACCUGCCCUAUGGUCGAGCAUAACCUCGGGAAACUGAGGGUAAUUCUCGAUAGGAGAUAUGUCCUGGAAUGGUAUUUCUCCCAAACACGUGCCAUAGGAUGGGCCGGCGGCUGAUUAGGCUGUUGGUGGGGUAAUGGCCCACCAAACCUAAGAUCAGUACGGGCCUUGAGAGAGGUAGCCCGGAGAGGGACACUGAGAUACGGGUCCCAGCCCCACGGGGUGCAGCAGGCGCGAAACCUUUCCAAUGCACGAAAGUGUGAGAAGGGGAUACUCAGUGCUUACGAUUAUGUCGUAGGCUUUUGUCGAUCGUAAAUAGAUCGGCGAAUAAGUGGUGGGUAAGACCGGUGCCAGCCGCCGCGGUAACCCCGGCGCCACAAGUGGUCAUCACGAUUAUUGGGCCUAAAGCGUUCGUAGCCGGUUUGGUAAAUCUCUUGUGAAAUUGUUCGGCUUAACCGGACAGCGUGCAGGGGACACUGCCAAGCUCGAGACCGGGAGGCGUAAGAAGUAUGGCAUGGGGACUGGUAAAAUGGGAUAAUCCAUGCUAGACUACCGAUGGCGAAGGCAUCUUACGAGAACGGAUCUGACGGUGAGGAACGAAAGCUAGGGGAGCGAACCGGAUUAGAUACCCGAGUAGUCCUAGCCGUAAACGCUGUGAGCAAGGUGUCGCGUAUCUCAAGUAGAUGCGCGGUGUCGAAAAGAAGUUGCUAAGCUCACCGCCUGGGAAGUACGGUCGCAAGACUGAAACUUUAAGGAAUUGGCGGGGGAGCAC